CCUAAGGUAGCGAAAUUCCUUGUCGGGUAAGUUCCGACCCGCACGAAAGGCGUAACGAUUUGGGCACUGUCUCAACAACAGACUCGGUGAAAUUGUAAUACCGGUGAAGAUGCCGGUUACCUGCGACAGGACGGAAAGACCCCAUGGAGCUUUACUGUAGCUUGACAUUGAGUCUCGGUGCUACAUGUACAGGAUAGGUGGGAGACUAUGAAGCAUGGACGUCAGUCUGUGUGGAGUCAUCCUUGGGAUACCACCCUUGUAGUACUGGGAUUCUAACCAGAGGCCAUGAAUCUGGUCUUGGGACACUGUCAGGUGGACAGUUUGACUGGGGCGGUCGCCUCCCAAAAAGUAACGGAGGCGCUCAAAGGUUCUCUCAGUACGGUCGGAAAUCGUACGAAGAGUGUAAAGGCAAAAGAGAGCUUGAUUGCAAGACAUACAGGUCGAGCAAGGACGAAAGUCGGACUUAGUGAUCCGGUGGUUCCGCAUGGAAGGGCCAUCGCUCAACGGAUAAAAGCUACCCUGGGGAUAACAGGCUGAUCUCCCCCAAGCGUCCACAGCGACGGGGAGGUUUGGCACCUCGAUGUCGGCUCGUCACAUCCUGGGGCUGAAUUCGGUCCCAAGGGUUCGGCUGUUCGCCGAUUAAAGUGGCACGCGAGCUGGGUUCAGAACGUCGUGAGACAGUUCGGUCCCUAUCUGUUGCGGGCGUAAGAGAUUUGAAGGGAGCUGUCCUUAGUACGAGAGGACCGGGAUGGACGUACCUCUGGUGCACCAGUUGUCCUGCCAAGGGCAUAGCUGGGUAGCUAAGUACGGACGAGAUAAACGCUGAAAGCAUCUAAGCGUGAAACUCCCCCUAAGAUUAGAUCUCUCAUUCGAAAGAAGUAAGGCACGACGUAGACUAUGUCGUUGAUAGGCCGGAGGUGGAAGCACGGUAACGUGUGCAGCUGACCGGUACUAAUAAGCCGAGGGCUUGACCU
RNAcentral lists this ribosomal RNA (974 nucleotides) under human gut metagenome. Its description in RNAcentral is "bacterial LSU rRNA". It matches the Rfam family "Bacterial large subunit ribosomal RNA", at positions 1950 to 2925 of the family's 2925-position model. The record is from RNAcentral.